Molecule: long non-coding RNA, 1140 nt
Organism: Daphnia pulicaria
Lineage: Eukaryota; Metazoa; Arthropoda; Branchiopoda; Diplostraca; Daphniidae
Exons: 2
Source: RefSeq, a predicted model, not a curated record
CAAGUAACAGGCAGCCAAAACAGCGAUUGAACUGAUGAACGAAAUCAAUAGUCACAAAGUAAUGGCGACUACAUUUGGAUAUCAAAACAUCAACAGCAUUGUCGCAGCCAUCCAUCCGAAACAGGUGAAUAACAAAACGGCCAACAAAAUGUAGAGGAUUAGCCACCGCUGGAUAGCAAAGAUAAACAUCUGCCACAACUGCAAACCGAUGGUGAAGUACGUGGAAAUCGACAGGAGACCAACAGCCACACAUCCCUGUAGGUAAACUUACAUGAAUUGACGUGUUCAUAAUGUCGCCUCAUUUUACGUAGAACUUACAAUGACCGCGAAGACAAGACCAACAUUAAAAAUGGCACGAAAGACGGAAAAUUCCUUCAGAUUGAAUUGAUUCAUUCGCUCCAUGCGAUCGAGAACACGGACGAGAUCUUCCCAGCGAACUGCGGUGACGGCCAGGAGAACGGUGUGGGUCGCUAUCAUGGAAGAGAUCGUGUUGUAGGUACUUAUUCCUUCGUUCCAUCGCGACGCAGUUGUGCUGUUGUUGAAUUCUUCCGAGUCCGGUGAAAGUGACGAAACAUUGCCAGCGUCUUGGCAGAGAAUAAUAAUGAUCAAACCUAUUGCUACAUUCGUGCAGUACAGAAUCCAUCCAAGGAUGUAGACCAUCCAGGCGGAGUAGCUCGGCUCGUCUUCCUUCAUUUUUAAAGGAAUUCCGAAAAUGUUGGUGACGAUCAAAACCGGACGGCAACACCAUUUGAAGCUCAUCAUCAUCUGUUCAUCAGACGAGCAGCUCGUCUGCCGUGCAACUCUUUUUCUCAACAUGUUUCGCUCGACUGUAGGGAGUAGCGCCGCUACCUGUUGUCUCGAUUGAUUUAUGAUGGCCGUGCUGAAGUGUCCUAGCGCACAUAUAAAUUUCAAUAAAGUUGAGUGCUGUAUAUUCAUUUAUUAUAGGAGAUACCUCCCAAUCGUGUCCAGACGACCUUGUUUUGUUUUUCUCCGUAAAUUGAAAGUGUAUAGAAACUACUGCAGCUUAUUGUCCUAAGCAACUAUCUGCUAGACUGUGGAACUUGGCGCAUUGAACUGGGUGGAGUUUAUCGCGGAGUUAACUUUUCGGCGGAAUAUUAAUACAAAGUUAUUGGAUUUCAA